CAGCCGCGGUAAUACGUAGGGCGCAAGCGUUAUCCGGAAUUAUUGGGCGUAAAGAGCUCGUAGGCGGUUUGUCGCGUCUGCUGUGAAAUCCCGAGGCUCAACCUCGGGCCUGCAGUGGGUACGGGCAGACUAGAGUGCGGUAGGGGAGAUUGGAAUUCCUGGUGUAGCGGUGGAAUGCGCAGAUAUCAGGAGGAACACCGAUGGCGAAGGCAGAUCUCUGGGCCGUAACUGACGCUGAGGAGCGAAAGGGUGGGGAGCAAACAGGCUUAGAUACCCUGGUAGUCCACCCCGUAAACGUUGGGAACUAGUUGUGGGGACCAUUCCACGGUUUCCGUGACGCAGCUAACGCAUUAAGUUCCCCGCCUGGGGAGUACGGCCGCAAGGCUAAAACUCAAAGGAAUUGACGGGGACCCGCACAAGCGGCGGAGCAUGCGGAUUAAUUCGAUGCAACGCGAAGAACCUUACCAAGGCUUGACAUACACCAGAACACCGUAGAAAUACGGGACUCUUUGGACACUGGUGAACAGGUGGUGCAUGGUUGUCGUCAGCUCGUGUCGUGAGAUGUUGGGUUAAGUCCCGCAACGAGCGCAACCCUCGUUCUAUGUUGCCAGCACGUAAUGGUGGGAACUCAUGGGAUACUGCCGGGGUCAACUCGGAGGAAGGUGGGGAUGACGUCAAAUCAUCAUGCCCCUUAUGUCUUGGGCUUCACGCAUGCUACAAUGGCCGGUACAAANGGCUGCAAUACCGUGAGGUGGAGCGAAUCCCAAAAA
This 770-nucleotide ribosomal RNA is filed under the name Microbacterium sp. 144 TW. Its description in RNAcentral is "bacterial SSU rRNA". It matches the Rfam family "Bacterial small subunit ribosomal RNA", at positions 512 to 1280 of the family's 1533-position model. Lineage: Bacteria; Bacillati; Actinomycetota; Actinomycetes; Micrococcales; Microbacteriaceae. The record is from RNAcentral.